AUACAUGAGAGUUUGAUCCUGGCUCAGGAUGAACGCUGGCGGCGUGCUUAACACAUGCAAGUCGAACGGAGCUAUGACACGGAGUCUUCGGAUGAAGUGCUGUAGCUUAGUGGCGGACGGGUGAGUAACACGUGAGCAACCUACCUUUUGCAGGGGAAUAACUCUGGGAAACCAGAGCUAAUACCGCAUGCCGUGCGCUUGGGGCAUCCCAGGUGCAUGAAAGGAGCAAUCCGGCAGAAGAUGGGCUCGCGUCCGAUUAGGUAGUUGGAGAGGUAAUGGCUCCCCAAGCCGACGAUCGGUAGCCGGACUGAGAGGUCGAUCGGCCA
This 326-nucleotide ribosomal RNA is filed under the name Clostridia bacterium. RNAcentral describes it as "bacterial SSU rRNA". It matches the Rfam family "Bacterial small subunit ribosomal RNA", at positions 1 to 310 of the family's 1533-position model. The record is from RNAcentral. Lineage: Bacteria; Bacillati; Bacillota; Clostridia.